This 1070-nucleotide long non-coding RNA is filed under the name Equus asinus (donkey). RNAcentral describes it as "lncRNA (ENSEASG00005038519.1)". The record is from RNAcentral. Lineage: Eukaryota; Metazoa; Chordata; Mammalia; Perissodactyla; Equidae.
UUAAACAGGUGCCACCCUCUGGCCCUUUGUGGAAGGAGGUUAGUGAGGCCCACCUCAUCGUCAGUGAGCCUAUGAAGGGCUGGACCUGAAGAAGAGACUUGCAGCUUCUGCCUUCAGGUUUGGCACAGUCUAUUUUGAAAGCCAGCCUUAUGUGAGAAGUCCAACUACCCUGAGGCCACCACACUGUGAGGAGGUCCAAGCUAGCCGCGUGGAGAGAAGGAGGCCACCUGGAGAAACUGAGGCACUAGACAUAUGAAUGAAGCCCCUUGGCCUGUCCAGCCCAGCCCAGCCCCCAGAAGAAUGCAGCCCAGUGAGUGACCAUAGGCAACAGUUCUGCCAUAAGGAGCAGAACCACCAAGCUGAAUUCUGACAAAUUCCUGAGCUGAAGGACUCAUGAGAAGUAGUUUGGGGUUGUUUGCUAUGCAGCAAUGGAUAACUGAAACGGAAUGAUAUUCCCAUUGUAUAGAUUAAAAAAAUGAGGCUCACACCACCUAUACUGUAAACCUCUAAGCAGUAGCACCAGCUUCAAACCCAGAGCUCCUGAAUCCAAAGCUGAUGCCUUGCCCUCCAUGCCUGAUGGGGAGGCAUUCCCCACUGCAGGAUGUAGACUGUGGGAGGACUGGGGGCUCUGAGACCCAGCCGUGGGGCCACACCUUCCCCCAUUCUCUUUGGAGGAGGAUGGUAACAUGAUGUUCAGCUCUGGAGAACCUAGAACCCCAAACUCUUCCUCUCUGUCCCUUCAUCCUCACCAUCAGCUUCCCGAGAAAGAACCAGAAGGAAGGAACUGUGGUUAGGUGCCAAGACAAACCUUGGGACAACUCUGCAUGGUCUUCCUCCAAGUGUGAUUAGAAAUGCUGUUCUGGGCAGCCUUUUCAAUGUUAAUGGGGGCAAAGUUAGUUUCAGUGGUAACAAAGUCUGAUGUUACUAAGAACAUAUUUUCAUCACAUUCUAUAGUUAAUAAAGGACUUUAAUCCUAUGGGCUUGGGUGGCCCUAAAAGUCUACCCCCUCAAAUUCUCCAGGGGUCACAGACACAGAAGAGCAGAUGGUGUCACACUCCCCCAGAAUUGAG